Molecule: ribosomal RNA, 427 nt
Filed under: uncultured bacterium
Lineage: Bacteria
Description: partial 16S ribosomal RNA
Rfam family: Bacterial small subunit ribosomal RNA
Source: RNAcentral
UGGGGAAUAUUGCACAAUGGGCGCAAGCCUGAUGCAGCCAUGCCGCGUGUAUGAAGAAGGCCUUCGGGUUGUAAAGUACUUUCAGCGGGGAGGAAGGCGAUAAGGUUAAUAACCUUGUCGAUUGACGUUACCCGCAGAAGAAGCACCGGCUAACUCCGUGCCAGCAGCCGCGGUAAUACGGAGGGUGCAAGCGUUAAUCGGAAUUACUGGGCGUAAAGCGCACGCAGGCGGUCUGUCAAGUCGGAUGUGAAAUCCCCGGGCUUAACCUGGGAACUGCAUUCGGAACUGGCAGGCUAGAGUCUUGUAGAGGGGGGUAGAAUUCCAGGUGUAGCGGUGAAAUGCGUAGAGAUCUGGAGGAAUACCGGUGGCGAAGGCGGCCCCCUGGACAAAGACUGACGCUCAGGUGCGAAAGCGUGGGGAGCAAACA